UCCUUUCAAAUAUUAAAAUAAAUAUAAAUAGAUUGGGAGUGUUGACCUUCAAAUAUAUUUUUCUCAUUCAUCAUCCAAUUUGUGUUUGCGAUCGAUCCAAAACAAUGGACGCCUUCACUUCCUUCUUCGAUUCAAGAAACCGAUGGAAUUACGAUACGCUCAAGAACUUCCGUCUCAUCUCUCCCAUCGUUCAAAAUCACCUCAAGAAGGUUUAUUUUACUCUUUGUUUCGCCGUGGUUGCUGCUGCCGUUGGGGCCUACCUUCAUGUUCUCCUGAACGUUGGGGGUUUUCUUACUACGGUGGCUUGUGUUGGAAGCAGCGUUUGGUUACUCUCUACAUCUCCUUCGGAAGAGAAGAAGAGGGUGACUUUGUUGAUGGCCGCGUCACUGUUUCAAGGUGCCUCCAUUGGACCCUUGAUUGAUUUGGCUAUUCAAAUAGAACCAAGCCUUAUCUUUAGUGCAUUUGUGGCAACAUCCUUGGCCUUUGCAUGCUUCUCGGGAGCAGCUUUGGUUGCAAGACGUAGGGAGUACCUGUACCUUGGUGGCUUGCUUUCUUCUGGAUUGUCCAUCCUUCUCUGGUUGCACUUUGCUUCUUCCAUUUUUGGAGGCUCAACAGCUCUCUUCAAGUUUGAGCUGUACUUUGGGCUUUUGUUGUUUGUGGGUUACAUUAUAGUUGACACCCAAGAAAUAGUUGAGAGAGCACACUUGGGCGAUCUGGACUAUGUAAAGCAUGCCUUGACCUUGUUUACCGAUUUGGUUGCAGUUUUUGUAAGGAUUCUUGUCAUUAUGAUGAAAAAUUCAGCUGAGAGGAACGAGAAAAAGAAGAAGAGGAGAGAUUAAUUUCUUACCAAUCUGCUCGGUUUACACCUCUGUUCCCUUGGUCUUCAAUACAUAGGAUACUUGACUAUAAAGUGAUUUAAUCUUCACGAACUUUUUCCUACUUGUUUGCUUCUGAACUUUUUAACAAAGCAUGUACUAAAAUGAAAAAAGUAAGGUGGUCUUGGACAACCAGUUCAAUUA
This is a non-coding RNA of Vigna umbellata (rice bean), 1019 nucleotides long. Lineage: Eukaryota; Viridiplantae; Streptophyta; Magnoliopsida; Fabales; Fabaceae. The record is from RefSeq and is a predicted model, not a curated record.